This is a non-coding RNA of Tephrocybe rancida, 91 nucleotides long. The record is from the annotation of a GenBank genome assembly. Lineage: Eukaryota; Fungi; Basidiomycota; Agaricomycetes; Agaricales; Lyophyllaceae.
GGGGGCAUAGCUCAGCUGGGAGAGCAGCAGACUGAAGUCAUUGUCGAACAUUGUAUUCUGAAGGUCCUGCGUUCGAUCCGCGGUGCCCCCA